RNAcentral lists this ribosomal RNA (421 nucleotides) under uncultured bacterium. RNAcentral describes it as "partial 16S ribosomal RNA". It matches the Rfam family "Bacterial small subunit ribosomal RNA", at positions 355 to 788 of the family's 1533-position model. The record is from RNAcentral.
UGGGGAAUAUUGCACAAUGGGCGGAAGCCUGAUGCAGCAACGCCGCGUGAGUGAUGAAGGCCUUCGGGUUGUAAAGCUCUGUCUUUUGGGACGAUAAUGACGGUACCAAAGGAGGAAGCCACGGCUAACUACGUGCCAGUAGCCGCGGUAAUACGGUAGGUGGCAAGCGUUGUCCGGAUUUACUGGGGCGUAAAGGAUGCGUAGGCGGAUUUUUAAGUGAGAUGUGAAAUACCCGGGCUUAACUUGGGUGCUGCAUUUCAAACUGGGAAUCUAGAGUGCGGGAGAGGAGAAUGGAAUUCCUAGUGUAGCGGUGAAAUGCGUAGAGAUUUAGGAAGAACACCAGUGGCGAAAGGCGAUUCUCUGGACCGUAACUGACGCUGAGGCAUGAAAGCGUGGGAUAGCAAACAGGAUUAGAUACCCU